Molecule: long non-coding RNA, 4412 nt
Organism: Papio anubis (olive baboon)
Lineage: Eukaryota; Metazoa; Chordata; Mammalia; Primates; Cercopithecidae
Source: Ensembl
AUGGAUGUGGGAGAAAUGAGACAGACAGUCCAUUUUCCCCAAACACACCAGAUUAAAAUUUCAAGAACUCUAAUCUCAUCUGAUUACUAUUUAAAGGCACUUAAUGAAUUCUCCAUGACCUGUGUGAGGAAGCGUGAAGAGGUAUGUUUCAGUUUCCCUGAAGAUACCACAGAAAUGGUGGUUGUGUUGGGUACAGACUGUAGACUUGAAGUUGGCCAGGGAGUGCCUCCUAUAGGGCAUCCUGCAGAUUCCCUGUUAGGGACCCCUAAGAGGCCAAAGGAGGCACAGAAGGCAACAGCAAUUGGCUUGGAAGCCCAUGCCUAUCACUUUCCCUUUGAUCAGGAUCCUCUGGAUAGGAUCACGGUUCUAUAGGGUGCAGUCAACCACUCUUUUCCACAAGCUUUCUCCAGUUUCUGUCUUAUUAGGAUCUUACACUCUUCAGUUUAGACACAUUAAUCUACAUCUUGUUUCUCCCACAUUUCAGAGAGGGUACCAGUAGGUUAGCAGUGCAGAAGGACACAAAAGUUUCUUUCCUCUAUUUUUUUUCAGCGAUCAUGAUUCUUUCCCUUGCUGCAAUUAUAUACGUCACUUCUUCCUUUUUUCUUCUCACUCUUCUUCUCACAUCCCUCCAUGUCUCAUAAUCUACAAAAACCCCUAAGUCUUUACUAUGUGAUCAUUUCAAUUAAAAAGUAUAAAACCAUUGCACAGUGGUCUUAAAUUUCUUUAGACUUUACCAUAGAUGUUGUCCAUAGCAAUGACCUGAAAAAUACUAAUACGUUAUGAAUGACUUCUCCUUUCUUCAUUCUCAAUAUUUCUUAAUUCACAUAUCCUUAUUUGACUGUUUUAAGUAAGAAGUUUAUCUUGCUCUUCCAAUUAUAGUCAUUGAAGGCCUCUCUUCUUCUUUGACUUCUACAGAACAGAUAAAGUAUGCAAUAAAUAUCUACCGAUUGACUGUUCACAAAUCAAGUCUCCUCAUUGUGAGUUGUUGAUAUUGUCACUCCUCCUUGAGUAAACACAUGGUUGUCUUUUAAUAUAUUUUUAAUGAGGUAAGUACAUGCAAUUUACUUAGGGCUUAGAGAGGCAAAUCUAGGAUCAUUGAGCUUUCUUAGAGAGAGGGAGGUAGAUUUGUAACAAAAAGGCAACUAUAGGGAUGGAAAGAGAGUGGAGUAGUUUAAGGAUUAAAACAAAAGAUAAUGAAUACAAGGGUACAGAUAAAAGAAAUAAAAGAAGGGAAACAAACACAGAAAGGCUUUAUCUAGGAGAAAGUGAAAUAAAGUGUGGAAGAACGGUUGGCGGUAUAAGAGUUGUUAAAUAAAUCAAAAUAUUUUGUUUCCUGUCACAGGAUCAUUUUGUUCGGUCUUCUAAAGGUUUAUGGUGCAUUACAGGAGUUUAGUAUUCUUUGUUUCUGCCAGAAUUUGAGAAUGUCUGUGAGGCUAAGUUGUGGGAAAAGUAAAUUUGAGACAGCAGAGUUACUGUAGACCUUGAUUUGGACCCUUGUAAUGGUCUUGCCUCCUCCACUCUUUCUGUAUUGAUACUGCUAGUCUCUAGACCUUAAGUGAACAGCCUAAACAGCCAUUCCACCAUUCCUGUUUUUCAUACCUUCUCACAUUGGAGCAAAGUGCUCCAUUCUGAAAUGUUCUAGAAGGACCAUGCUCUAAGUUGUCUUUGUUCUACAACUUUUAUUCAUCAGCUAAUUUCGAAAUUAUUCUUCCUUUUGUGUGUGUGUGACUUCAAAACCAAAUUUCUUUCUUUCUUUUUUUGUUUUCUUUUUUUUUUUUUUUUUUUUUUUAAGAUGGAGUUUUGCUCUUGUCACCCAGGCUGGAGUGCAAUGGUGCGAUCUCAGCUAACUGCAACCUCUGCCUGCCGGGUUCAAGCGAUUCUACUGUCUCAGCCUCCCCAGUAGCUGGGAUUACGGGCACCCACCACCACACCCAGCUAAUUUUGCAUUUUUAGUAGAGAUGCAGUUUCACCAUGUUGGCCAGGGUGGUCUGGAACCCCUAACAUCAGGUUAUCCACCCGCCUCUGCCUCCCAAAGCGCUGGGAUUACAGGCAUGAGCCACUGCACCCGGCCUGAAACCAAAUUUCUAUUAACCGAUGAAUAGGUAAAUAAAAUGUGGUAUUUCCAUACAUUGUAAACCUGCUGAUAAUGGAGAUCUAAUGCCAUUCUUAUUUUAUUAUGCCAGAGAGAUCAUUGGGAAUUUUCCCUUCGAUUUUGGAAACAUGAGUAUGACCUUUACUUGUCACACUUUCAAGGAACCAAGGACUAGAUAUCUGAAUUUCUUCAGCACUCUCUUUAAUUUCAGAACUGUUCUCCUCAUUUCAUGUGCCCCUGAUUGGACUGUCGAUCAAGUCACUCCAUUUGUGUCCUAUCUAUAGGAGAUACCCAUACACUUAGCACAGUGAUUGCUCUAAAGCAUGAGCACAUAACACAAGCAAGUCCGGACAUCUUCCGUAAGAGUGCUGUAUGGACACUUUGAAAGAGUCGAUCUAUUCCUUUUAUCUCAGAAGCUGUUAAGGUAAAAUCUGAGGACUGCUAGAAGACAUUUUUCCUAACUCAAGAAGAAAAGGUAUCCAUAGUAGGAUAGGAUGAAGCCAACACAGAGACGCCUUGACACAUAGAACUGAUUAUGAUGGAGAUAAAAACAGAGGUGGAGAUGGAGAUGGAAAUAGAGAAAUGAGAUAGAGGAUUAUAAUGAUAUUGUUUGGACUCUGAAUCCAGCCAUGCCUAACCUCAGAUUUAUACUAAGUUAUGUGUCAGUAAACUCCUAUAGUUUUGUUUUGGCUUCAAUUGCCAUUAAAUUGGAUUUUUAACAUUUAAAACCAAAAGAGUGCUCAAUAUUCAAUCAGGCUGAGGAAAUUUUGCUGAUAGUACUUGUUUCUAGGAGUUUAUCCACCCUAAGUUAAGUGUAAUUUCCUGAUUGUUGGCAAAAAAAAAAAAAAAAAAUUCACUUUUUUUUUGUAGUUCAUGAAUAAAUAACCAUGACAUGGAUGGAUAAAUGGUCAUGGAUAGUUUAAUAUAAAAUAAUGAUGUAAUAGGCUGAAAUUUAAAGUGGUUCUUGAGAAGUAAAAGGCUGCUCCCAUAUCUAAUGCAUCAAUUCUGACAUUUAAAACAAAAACGCUUAAGUAAUGCAAUGCACUAUUCAUUAAUUUGAAGAACAUUUUUGCAGUCAUCAUUUGAAAUAUUUCUUUAGAACAAAGGAUGAAAGAUAAAAUAUGCUAGAAAAAAUAAUUUUUUGUGUGUACAAUCCACCAUUUUCCUUCUUACAGAAAAUUAUUUACUGUGGUUCUUUAUUUCAAAAGAAAUUAUUAUUUCCAUUUCAAAAGGAAUCAUACAUACAGAAAAAUGUCACAUGCCCCAAACCUAGUCAAAUACAUAAUGCAAACAAUCAGUAUAACUUGGGAAAGAGAUGUAUUUAUUUUUGGAUUAACUACACGGAAUAAUAUAUUUCCUAAUAUUUUUAUUCAAUGUGCUCAUUGAUUACAAUAAUAUUCUCCAGCUAGAAGUGCCUUUCUGGGCUUUUGCGUGCCCAGAGGAUAUUCUUGAACAAUUAGGGGAGUCUUCAAAAAGUGUCAUAUGUGGCAAGGAAUCUAAAUGUGCGCUCCUCAAUCCACUUCUAUCAGCAGUGUAGUAUCCCGAACUUUCACCUGUGGUUUUCUCUUCUCUGUAGCAUCCACUACUAUUGAUAGUUUUAUCAAAUCAUUUUAGUCUCUAUAGCUAUUUUAAAAUGUGAAAUAGGACUUAAUGCAUAUUUCAUCUUCUAGUCAUUUUAACUUUAAAGAUUUUUGAAUUCACUUUCAUGGCUGUAUUGAAAAUUUGUUCAAUCAGUCCCCAUUGGAAGAGUUGAGAGAGAAAAUGGAGAUGGUUUCCCUAAGGUGGUCAUUUGUAUGCUUUUUAGAGGCAGAUAAUUCUUUGAUUAAAGCAAUUGUCCCCCUUCCUCCCCAAAAAAAGUGAGUAUGGAAUCAGGAGUUUCAGGCUACCUAGGAACACCUUCUCUAGCACAGAGAAUUGUGUUUAGACUCAGAACAGUACUCCCUCAUAGACACUUUCCAAGGGCAAAAUAGAUUAUCUUAUGUACUAAUGAUGCUCAUGGGUGUCUCUCAGGACAUUUAGAUAUCAGAAAGAAAAAAAUAUUUCCAUGUAACAUUUGCUGAUAAUGAUAAGUUAUCCUUUAAGAAUUAUCACAUCAAAUAGAUAAAACUGGUUUGCCUGGGUAAGAAAAAUAAUGUGGAAUCCUUUAUGUUUCCUACUAAGAGCUUUCCAUCUAUUAUUGUAGCCUUCAGGAGCACUGACCUUCCUUCUAUUGACAGUUCUGGCAGAAAGCUAGGAAACCUGAAUAUAACUUUAAGCAUCCCCAGAAAUACAUGAAUUGUUAUUACAAAGCAAAAUAGUCACUUUAAAAUUGAGGGUUGAA